GACAGAGGGUGCAAACGUUGUUCGGAAUUACUGGGCGUAAAGCGCGUGUAGGCUGCUUGGAAAGUCGGAUGUGAAAGCCCUGGGCUUAACCCAGGAAGUGCAUUCGAAACUUCCAAGCUCGAGUCCUGGAGAGGGUGGCGGAAUUCUCGGUGUAGCGGUGGAAUGCGCAGAUAUCAGGAGGAACACCAAUAGCGAAGGCAGCUCGCUGGGACGUUACUGACACUAAGGCGCGAAAGCGUGGGGAGCGAACAGG
RNAcentral lists this ribosomal RNA (253 nucleotides) under uncultured bacterium. RNAcentral's name for it is "partial 16S ribosomal RNA". It matches the Rfam family "Bacterial small subunit ribosomal RNA", at positions 524 to 776 of the family's 1533-position model. The record is from RNAcentral.